Molecule: ribosomal RNA, 207 nt
Filed under: uncultured bacterium
Lineage: Bacteria
Description: partial 16S ribosomal RNA
Rfam family: Bacterial small subunit ribosomal RNA
Source: RNAcentral
AGCGUAGACGGCAAGGCAAGUCUGAUGUGAAAACCCAGGGCUUAACCCUGGGACUGCAUUGGAAACUGUCUGGCUCGAGUGCCGGAGAGGUAAGUGGAAUUCCUAGUGUAGCGGUGAAAUGCGUAGAUAUUAGGAAGAACACCAGUGGCGAAGGCGGCUUACUGGACGGUAACUGACGUUGAGGCUCGAAAGCGUGGGGAGCGAACA